UUGGAUAUGGCUGACCCUAUUCCUAAUCCUUUUCGGAGUAAAUUUUAGAAAAAACGAGAAAGUGUAUAAAAUUAUGCACUUCUUAUGUUGAACAUUGCGGACUUCCAUAGUACCAUUUAUCAUUAAUUAACCCCGGAGGAGAAGCUAAAUUUCAAAAAAUCUUCUUAUUGGAAUACUUACAAGAUAAAAAGCACCAUCUGCAAAAUUUCGAGUUGGUAUCCCCAGCGGCUUAGGCUCUGCGUGGAUGAAUCAAUGAGUCGCUCAAUCACUCAGGACAAGUUUCGGAUGCCCUUAUUAUUGAUAUGCGUGUUUUCCAAAAUAUGGAGCCUUAUUUUGGUGGGCCCCGAUAUGUACUUGUUACAGUAUUCACAGAAGAAUCCGUUUUUGACCUGUGGUAAUAAACCGAAAAAAAUAAUUUAUUUCAAUUAACAGUAGAGUAAUAAACCGAUUUUUUAUAAUA
This is a long non-coding RNA of Bombyx mori (domestic silkworm), 460 nucleotides long. RefSeq lists it as uncharacterized. NCBI's taxonomy places the organism in Eukaryota, Metazoa, Arthropoda, Insecta, Lepidoptera, Bombycidae. The record is from RefSeq and is a predicted model, not a curated record. The transcript has 2 exons.